UAAGUACACUGUUCCGGUUCAG
Molecule: non-coding RNA, 22 nt
Filed under: Arabidopsis thaliana (thale cress)
Lineage: Eukaryota; Viridiplantae; Streptophyta; Magnoliopsida; Brassicales; Brassicaceae
Source: RNAcentral